RNAcentral lists this unclassified non-coding RNA (444 nucleotides) under Zea mays. RNAcentral's name for it is "misc RNA Zm00001eb003430". The record is from RNAcentral. Lineage: Eukaryota; Viridiplantae; Streptophyta; Magnoliopsida; Poales; Poaceae.
GCGGAGGACACUGAAAACUACUGUAUCUAUGUAUCAUGAAAAAAAAUAUCGCUGUAUUGCCAUCAACCAGCAGCAGCACACAUCUAGCAAACCGGCGGCGCAUACGGAACGAAUGACAACACAGGGUAUGCUGGUGCGGGCGUUAUACCUGCUUGUUGAUCUCAACGCCGAUGGCGCGCUUGGUGACGUUCCAGACGCGACCGGUGCGGCCGUGGUAGAACUUGUGCGGCAUGCCCUUGUGCACGGCGCCGUUCACCUUGACGUCGACGUAGUCGCCGAUCUUGUAGGUGCGCAGGUACGUGGUGAGCGGGAUGUAACCCUUCUUGCGGAACGGCCGCGCGAACAGGUCGCGGGUCCGCGACCGAAGCCCGUGCCCCGCCGGCAUCUUCCUCCUGUUUCCUGCGGCUGGGCGGCGGCGGCGGCGGCUGCUGCUACUGCGGGAGU